Molecule: non-coding RNA, 143 nt
Filed under: Pelotomaculum thermopropionicum
Lineage: Bacteria; Bacillati; Bacillota; Clostridia; Eubacteriales; Desulfotomaculaceae
Also listed under: 1 other name
Description: MoCo sequence
Rfam family: Molybdenum/Tungsten riboswitch aptamer (Moco RNA motif)
Source: RNAcentral
CCUAAUACAAUCACCCGAGUCUACCCGCCUGUGGCUACUUGGUACAUUAUCCUUGGUAUUAAGGGCUAUGGCGGUUGACCGACAGGGUAUACCUUGAAAAGGGUAUGCCUCCCAGUGCGGAAAGGGUUUAGUGCUUUAAAUGG